Molecule: long non-coding RNA, 723 nt
Organism: Austrofundulus limnaeus
Lineage: Eukaryota; Metazoa; Chordata; Actinopteri; Cyprinodontiformes; Rivulidae
Exons: 3
Source: RefSeq, a predicted model, not a curated record
CAGAAGGACAGAGACAACACAGCGCGAGGCAGACUCUGAAGCAAAGAUAGUUCAGUCACAGAUAGAACUUGCAGGGAAGCCACCACUUGCCCUUUUUUGACUGAACUUCUAAAUUAGGACAGCUUUAUCGAGGAUAGCCUUUCUUUAAGGAGCAAUGGAGGUAGGGGACUUCUGACUUCUCUGUUCCCAUCGAUCAGUUUAUUCUAUGAAGCAUUAGGGAAAGAUGAAGCUGAAAUACAAAAGAACGAGUUUUACAGACCUUUGAUCCUGUUGAUGAUGGUUUCUUCAGCGUGUGGUCUGUGGUGCUACUCGUGCAUAGGAGUUGUUCCAAAGUCCUGCAGAAGAAUAAAACAUUGUGAUUCAAUUUCCAGCCUCUGUUACUCUAUCCAAGGACACGGUUAGCUGUUGAACAUAUAAGGAGUUCCAGACUCAAUGACUGUUUAUAAAAUCAAAAUUAAACCACUAUAAUACAGCUACUUAUUGUAUUUUUUCUAAUACUUUUCUAUCUUGGUUUACAGGUUUGAUUACCCAGGGCUGCUGGAACAGUGCAGCCUGCACGAGCCCUUUUUCCUGCUGUGAAGGAGACUUCUGUAACAGUGGAGUAGCAGCAGGUCCAACCAGUGUCGUCCUGCUGCUGGUGGCUUCAGCUCUCUUCACAAUUUUUAUCUAAGUAAAACUAAUGAAAUGGAAAAACUAAUUGUGGAAAGAUGUGAAAUAAAACGU